This 468-nucleotide ribosomal RNA is filed under the name uncultured bacterium. Its description in RNAcentral is "partial 16S ribosomal RNA". It matches the Rfam family "Bacterial small subunit ribosomal RNA", at positions 28 to 507 of the family's 1533-position model. The record is from RNAcentral.
GACGAACGCUGGCGGCGUGCUUAACACAUGCAAGUCGAACGGAAAGGCCCUGCUUUUGUGGGAUGCUCGAGUGGCGAACGGGUGAGUAACACGUGAGUAACCUGCCCUUGACUUUGGGAUAACUUCAGGAAACUGGGGCUAAUACCGGAUAGGAGCUCCUGCUGCAUGGUGGGGGUUGGAAAGUUUCGGCGGUUGGGGAUGGACUCGCGGCUUAUCAGCUUGUUGGUGGGGUAGUGGCUUACCAAGGCUUUGACGGGUAGCCGGCCUGAGAGGGUGACCGGCCACAUUGGGACUGAGAUACGGCCAAGACUCCUACGGGAGGCAGCAGUGGGGAAUAUUGCACAAUGGGCGGAAGCCUGAUGCAGCAACGCCGCGUGCGGGAUGACGGCCUUCGGGUUGUAAACCGCUUUCGCCUGUGACGAAGCGUGAGUGACGGUAAUGGGUAAAGAAGCACCGGCUAACUACGUG